GCUGGAGUGGCGCAAUUGGUAGCGCAACGCACUUGUAAUGCGUAGGUUGUGGGUUCAAGUCCCAUCUCCAGCUCAA
This 76-nucleotide transfer RNA is filed under the name Corynebacterium diphtheriae. RNAcentral describes it as "tRNA-Thr". It matches the Rfam family "tRNA". Rfam says of the family: Transfer RNA (tRNA) molecules are approximately 80 nucleotides in length. Their secondary structure includes four short double-helical elements and three loops (D, anti-codon, and T loops). Further hydrogen bonds mediate the characteristic L-shaped molecular structure. tRNAs have two regions of fundamental functional importance: the anti-codon, which is responsible for specific mRNA codon recognition, and the 3' end, to which the tRNAs corresponding amino acid is attached (by aminoacyl-tRNA synthetases). tRNAs cope with the degeneracy of the genetic code in two manners: having more than one tRNA (with a specific anti-codon) for a particular amino acid; and 'wobble' base-pairing, i.e. permitting non-standard base-pairing at the 3rd anti-codon position. RNAcentral also lists the same sequence under 21 other names. Lineage: Bacteria; Bacillati; Actinomycetota; Actinomycetes; Mycobacteriales; Corynebacteriaceae. The record is from RNAcentral.